CCAGCCGGCCGGGCGGCCGCACCAGCGAGAGCCGAAAGGCUGCGGGUGAGGAAAGUCCGGGCUCCAUGGAAACACGGUGCCGGAUAACGACCGGCGGGGGCGACCCCAGGGAAAGUGCCACAGAAAGCAAACCGCCGCGCUUUGCGCGGUAAGGGUGAAAGGGUGGGGUAAGAGCCCACCGCGCGACUGGCAACAGGAGCGGCAAGGUAAACCCCACCGGGAGCAAAACCGAAUAGGGAUGGUAUGAGGGGGAAACCUCUCAGGGCUGUUUCCGGCCCCGCCAUCCGGGUAGGUUGCAUGAGGCGCAUGGCAACAUGCGUCCAAGACGAAUGGUCGCCACGUUUUUGCGCCGCAAGGCACAAGGGCCAUACAAAACCCGGCUUAUAGGCCGGCUGGCAUU
Molecule: RNase P RNA, 400 nt
Filed under: Mesorhizobium zhangyense
Lineage: Bacteria; Pseudomonadati; Pseudomonadota; Alphaproteobacteria; Hyphomicrobiales; Phyllobacteriaceae
Description: Bacterial RNase P class A
Rfam family: Bacterial RNase P class A
About the family: Ribonuclease P (RNase P) is a ubiquitous endoribonuclease, found in archaea, bacteria and eukarya as well as chloroplasts and mitochondria.
Source: Rfam by way of RNAcentral